UACAGAGGUCCCAAGCGUUGUUUGGAUUCACUGGGCGUAAAGGGUGCGUAGGUGGUCGGGUAAGUCUGAUGUGAAAUCUCCGAGCCUAACUCGGAAACUGCAUCGGAUACUAUUCGGCUUGAGGGUUGGAGGGGGGACUGGAAUACUUGGUGUAGCAGUGAAAUGCGUAGAUAUCAAGUGGAACACCAGUGGCGAAGGCGAGUCCCUGGACAACUCCUGACACUGAGGCACGAAAGCUAGGGGAGCAAACAGG
This 253-nucleotide ribosomal RNA is filed under the name uncultured bacterium. Its description in RNAcentral is "partial 16S ribosomal RNA". It matches the Rfam family "Bacterial small subunit ribosomal RNA", at positions 524 to 776 of the family's 1533-position model. The record is from RNAcentral.